AACGUAGGAGACAAACGUUAUCCGGAGUUACUGGGCGUAAAGGGCGUGUAGGUGGUUUUGUAAGUCUGGCGUGAAAUUUUUCGGCUUAACCGGGAAAGGUCGUCGGAUAGUGCAAGGCUAGAGGACGGUAGAGGCGUGUGGAAUUCCGGGUGUAGUGGUGAAAUGCGUAGAGAUCCGGAGGAACACCAGUGGCGAAGGCGACACGCUGGGCCGUACCUGACACUGAUGCGCGACAGCAUGGGGAGCAAACAGG
RNAcentral lists this ribosomal RNA (253 nucleotides) under uncultured bacterium. Its description in RNAcentral is "partial 16S ribosomal RNA". It matches the Rfam family "Bacterial small subunit ribosomal RNA", at positions 524 to 776 of the family's 1533-position model. The record is from RNAcentral.